AGCUGGAUAGCUCAGUCAGUAGAGCAUGAGACUCUGAAUCCCAGGGUUGUGGGUUCGAAUCCCACGUUGGGUG
This 73-nucleotide transfer RNA is filed under the name Podarcis lilfordi (Lilford's wall lizard). RNAcentral's name for it is "tRNA.Gln". The stretch from base 8 to 65 matches the Rfam family "tRNA", at positions 8 to 63 of the family's 71-position model. From Rfam's summary of the family: Transfer RNA (tRNA) molecules are approximately 80 nucleotides in length. Their secondary structure includes four short double-helical elements and three loops (D, anti-codon, and T loops). Lineage: Eukaryota; Metazoa; Chordata; Lepidosauria; Squamata; Lacertidae. The record is from RNAcentral.